CUGGCCCCGCCCCGUCCUAUUCGGGCUCCCGCCUCUGUUCAGGACACUGGGUCCCCUAGGAGCCUCCCCAGGCUUAAUGAUUGUCCAGAAGGUGGCUAUAAAGGGAGCUUGGGAGGCAGGGUGGAGGAGGGAGCAGAAAAAACCCAACUCAGCAGAUCUGGAAACUGUGAGAGCGGCAAGCAGGAGCUGUGGUCAGAGGCUGUGCGUCUUGGCUGGUAGGGCCUGCUCUUUUCUACCAUGGCAGCCCAGGGCUAUGGCUAUUAUCGCACUGUGAUCUUCUCAGCCAUGUUUGGGGGCUACAGCCUGUAUUACUUCAAUCGCAAGACCUUCUCCUUUGUCAUGCCAUCAUUGGUGGAAGAGAUCCCUUUGGACAAGGAUGAUUUGGGGCUCAUCACCAGCAGCCAGUCGGCAGCUUAUGCUAUCAGCAAGUUUGUCAGUGGGGUGCUGUCUGACCAGAUGAGUGCUCGCUGGCUCUUCUCUUCUGGGCUGCUCCUGGUUGGCCUGGUCAACAUAUUCUUUUCCUGGAGCUCCACAGUACCUGUCUUUGCUGCCCUCUGGUUCCUUAAUGGCCUGGCCCAGGGGCUGGGCUGGCCCCCAUGUGGGAAGGUCCUGCGGAAGAGCUACAGCUGGCGCAGCACGCUGGCCCUGUCUGGGGCACUGUGUGUGGUUGUCUCCUUCCUCUGUCUCCUGCUCAUCCACAAUGAACCUGCUGAUGUUGGACUCCGCAACCUGGACCCCAUGCCCUCUAAGGGCAAGAAGGGCUCCUUGAAGGAGGAGAGCACCCUACAGGAGCUGCUGCUGUCCCCUUACCUGUGGGUGCUCUCCACUGGUUACCUUGUGGUGUUUGGAGUAAAGACCUGCUGUACUGACUGGGGCCAGUUCUUCCUUAUCCAGGAGAAAGGACAGUCAGCCCUUGUAGGUAGCUCCUACAUGAGUGCCCUGGAAGUUGGGGGCCUUGUAGGCAGCAUCGCAGCUGGCUACCUGUCAGACCGGGCCAUGGCAAAGGCGGGACUGUCCAACUAUGGGAACCCUCGCCAUGGCCUGUUGCUGUUCAUGAUGGCUGGCAUGACAGUGUCCAUGUACCUCUUCCGGGUAACAGUGACCAGUGACUCCCCCAAGCUCUGGAUCCUGGUAUUAGGAGCUGUAUUUGGUUUCUCCUCGUAUGGCCCCAUUGCCCUGUUUGGAGUCAUAGCCAAUGAGAGCGCCCCUCCCAAAUUGUGUGGCACCUCCCACGCCAUUGUGGGACUCAUGGCCAAUGUGGGCGGCUUUCUGGCUGGGCUGCCCUUCAGCACCAUUGCCAAGCACUACAGUUGGAGCACAGCAUUCUGGGUGGCUGAAGUGAUUUGUGCAGCCAGCACAGCUGCCUUCUUCCUCCUACGAAACAUCCGCACCAAGAUGGGCCGAGUGUCCAAGAAGGCUGAGUGAAGAGAGUCCAGGCUCCGGAGCACCAUCCCACGGUGGCCUUCCCCCUGCACGCUGUGGGGGAGAAAAGGAGGGGCCUGCCUGGCUAGCCCUGAACCUUUCACUUUCCAUUUCUGCGCCUUUUCCCUCACCUGGGUGGCACUGGAAGUUAUCAGUGGCUAGUGAGGUCCCAGCUCCCCGAUCCUAUGCUCUAUUUAAAAGAUAACCUUUGGCCUUAGACUCCAUUAGCUCCUAUUUCCUGCCUUCAGACAAACAGGAAACUUCUGCAGUCAGGAAGCCUCCUGUACCCUUCUUCUUUUCCUAGGCCCUGUCCUGCCCCCAUCCCCACCAGAAGUGAGGCUAUCCCUGCAGCUGCAGGGCACUAAUGACCCUUGACUUCUGCUGGGCCCUAAGUCCUCUCAGCAGUGGUCGACUGCUGUUGCCAAUACCUCAGACUCCAGGGAAAGAGAGGAGGCCAUCAUUCUCACUGCACCACUAG
RNAcentral lists this small RNA (1900 nucleotides) under Pongo abelii (Sumatran orangutan). RNAcentral describes it as "processed transcript". The record is from RNAcentral. Lineage: Eukaryota; Metazoa; Chordata; Mammalia; Primates; Hominidae.